GGGGGCGUACCGGAAUCGACAGGGAAGUGAGUUUUGUAGUAAGCACGCCGGAGCAUGAUUGGUUACUCCGUAAAAAAUAACGAUUACACUUUAGUUGGCACUCCCAGCUACGCCAUGGCUGCCUAAUCCUAGAUUAGUCUCCUGGUUUCACGCGCCGUGUGGUUGAGGUCCCAUACACAUCACGCCGCGCUCCCCCCUUUGGGACUGGCCGUCGACCCUGAUCUGAGUCGAGGGUAAGAUUAAAGAUCUAAGGUUCGGACAUGAGAGGGUGACCAAUCUCUCCCCGCGCUCGAAAAUCCUGACUGGUCACUAAGCGUGUAGAAAGCUGCUUGACGCUUUCGCUGGACGGGAGUUCAAAUCUCCCCGCCUCCACCA
RNAcentral lists this transfer-messenger RNA (375 nucleotides) under Saprospiraceae. Its description in RNAcentral is "Lewinella_A lacunae Standard tmRNA". It matches the Rfam family "transfer-messenger RNA". From Rfam's summary of the family: Bacterial tmRNA, also known as 10Sa RNA or SsrA, is named for its dual tRNA and mRNA-like properties. Its role is to liberate the mRNA from a stalled ribosome. RNAcentral also lists the same sequence under 1 other name. The record is from RNAcentral. Lineage: Bacteria; Pseudomonadati; Bacteroidota; Saprospiria; Saprospirales.